Long non-coding RNA from Oncorhynchus tshawytscha (Chinook salmon), 341 nucleotides. The record is from Ensembl. NCBI's taxonomy places the organism in Eukaryota, Metazoa, Chordata, Actinopteri, Salmoniformes, Salmonidae.
GGUAGACAUGUCUGUAUGUUGUGUUAUGAUAUGAGGGUAGGUUAGUGUUAUGAUAUGAGGGUAGGUUAGUGUUAUGAUAUGAGGGUAGGUUAGUGUUAUGAUAUGAGGGUAGGUUAGUGUUAUGAUAUGAGGGUAGGUUAGUGUUAUGAUAUGAGGGUAGGUUAGUGGUAGACAUGUCUGUAUGUAGUGUUAUGAUAUGAGGGUAGGUUAGUGUUAUGAUAUGAGGGUAGGUUAGUGUUAUGAUAUGAGGGUAGGUUAGUGGUAGACAUGUCUGUAUGUAGUGUUAUGAUAUGAGGGUAGGUUAGUGUUAUGAUAUGAGGGUAGGUUAGUGUUAUGAUAUG